UACGUAGGGUGCGAGCGUUAAUCGGAAUUACUGGGCGUAAAGGGUGCGCAGGCGGUCUUGUAAGUCAGAUGUGAAAUCCCCGGGCUCAACCUGGGAACUGCGUUUGAAACUACAAGACUAGAGUGUAGCAGAGGGGGGUGGAAUUCCACGUGUAGCAGUGAAAUGCGUAGAGAUGUGGAAGAACACCGAUGGCGAAGGCAGCCCCCUGGGUUAACACUGACGCUCAGGCACGAAAGCGUGGGGAGCAAACAGGAUUAGAUACCCUGGUAGUCCACGCCCUAAACGAUGUCAACUAGUUGUCGGAUCUUUAUAGAUUUGGUAACGUAGCUAACGCGUGAAGUUGACCGCCUGGGG
Molecule: ribosomal RNA, 354 nt
Filed under: uncultured beta proteobacterium
Lineage: Bacteria; Pseudomonadati; Pseudomonadota; Betaproteobacteria
Description: bacterial SSU rRNA
Rfam family: Bacterial small subunit ribosomal RNA
Source: RNAcentral